UUUAGGCACAACCAUGAGUUUCCGUGUUCAACUUUGAUUAUCUAUUUUAUUUGAUUUUUUUAUGAUUAGUAUUUUGUUGUUAUUAGAUGAUAAAACAUGAAUAAUACUUUAUACGUGACUUAUAUUUUUUAAUUUUUUCAAAUAAGAUGGAUAAUUAAAGUUGGACACGAAAACUUAUCGCUGCGCUUAAA
Molecule: non-coding RNA, 191 nt
Organism: Oryza punctata
Lineage: Eukaryota; Viridiplantae; Streptophyta; Magnoliopsida; Poales; Poaceae
Source: Rfam